GAGUUGAGUGGUGCGCAUAAAGCAAACUAUUCUUCUGCCUUUUAUUAAAGAAUACCGCGUGCUUGCCACAUCAAGCAGCAUACUGCUAUUUUUGAUGGGAUCCCUCCUAGUGAGGAGGC
Small nuclear RNA from Panicum virgatum (switchgrass), 119 nucleotides. RefSeq annotates it as U5 spliceosomal RNA. The transcript has a single exon. NCBI's taxonomy places the organism in Eukaryota, Viridiplantae, Streptophyta, Magnoliopsida, Poales, Poaceae. The record is from RefSeq and is a predicted model, not a curated record.